This 460-nucleotide ribosomal RNA is filed under the name uncultured bacterium. Its description in RNAcentral is "partial 16S ribosomal RNA". It matches the Rfam family "Bacterial small subunit ribosomal RNA", at positions 338 to 795 of the family's 1533-position model. The record is from RNAcentral.
CCUACGGGAGGCAGCAGUGAGGAAUAUUGGUCAAUGGGCGGAAGCCUGAACCAGCCAAGUAGCGUGCAGGAUGACGGCCCUACGGGUUGUAAACUGCUUUUAUACGGGAAUAACGCGCCUUACGUGUAGGGCUUUGCAUGUACCGUAUGUAUAAGGCCCGGCUAAUUCCGUGCCAGCAGCCGCGGUAAUACGGAAGGUUCGAGCGUUAUCCGGAUUUAUUGGGUUUAAAGGGAGCGGAGGCCGCAUUUCAAUCGUCUCGUGAAAUGUCCGGGCUCAACCCGGGCCUUGCAGCGGAAACUGGCGUGCUUGAGUCCGCGAGAGGCAGGCGGAAUUCGUCGUGUAGCGGUGAAAUGCUUAGAUAUGACGAAGAACCCCGAUUGCGAAGGCAGCUUGCUGCAGCGGAACUGACGCUGAUGCUCGAAAGCGCGGGUAUCGAACAGGAUUAGAUACCCCAGUAGUC